CAAAAGGUACCCCAUAGCCGGGCUCCAGGAGAACGAGAAAAAUGCCCGUUUCCAGCAAGCCAGCUUUGCGCUAGCGCAUAAUGAGCCGGUGAGUGAAUCGUCUCACCUCCACCGGUCCUUCCCAUCACCUCCACCGCUGCAACCCCUUCGUCUCCGCCUCCGGCCUCCGCCCUUCGCCUCCCACACUUCUCCCUUCGCCUCGGCCGCGCACGCGGCUGCAGCGGCUGGCGCGGCCGCGGCAGGCAGGACCGUGCACGUGGUCAUGGCAAAGCUCGCCCGCGCACGAGGCUGGGAGCGGCCCCAGCGCAGCUGGUAGCAGAGCUCGCCCGUGCGGCUAGGGGCGAAGCUCGACCGUGCGCGUGGCCACGACGGGCGAGCCGGGAGCGGCCCCAGCGCGGCCGGCGGCAGAGCUCGCCUGCCCGCGACAUCCACCCUCUGAACCCGACGUGCCGACGGCCCCCGCGCGCACGGGCUCCGCGUCCUGGGACACCGCUAGCCACCGCUCCUACUCCUCCGAGGAGCAGUACAUGACGAUGAGCCGCGAGUUCACUGGUCAAUUCGGGGCGUCGGCGGAGAACAAGCGGGGGCUGAAGCUGGACAAGGUGUUGGAGCUCGGCCGCGCGGCCGGCGGAACUCGCUGGCAGAGCUCCCCAGCGCGGCCUCGUUGUUUAGUGCAGCUAGUUCUGCAGAAGCGCUUGGCAAAUGUGAGCGGAGAAAGAGGAGGGUAACUUCACCAAUAUCCAAUGCAAGGUCAUCGUACCAACUUGUACAGCCAACCAAACAUGAGCUAGACAAUAUCUAGCCAUCCAACCAAACACAGGUGAAUUGCAUUUGCUAAGCCCGGUGAAAUCUAGCCUGGCUCAGUUUUCUAGCCAGGCUAGAAUGAACCAAACCAAGUAACCAAACACAUACAGAUCGGAUGUGCU
Molecule: long non-coding RNA, 926 nt
Organism: Panicum hallii
Lineage: Eukaryota; Viridiplantae; Streptophyta; Magnoliopsida; Poales; Poaceae
Exons: 2
Source: RefSeq, a predicted model, not a curated record